RNAcentral lists this ribosomal RNA (259 nucleotides) under uncultured bacterium. RNAcentral describes it as "partial 16S ribosomal RNA". It matches the Rfam family "Bacterial small subunit ribosomal RNA", at positions 99 to 354 of the family's 1533-position model. The record is from RNAcentral.
CGCACGGGUGAGUAACACGUAUGCAACCUGGCCGUGACAGAUGGAUAACCGGGAGAAAUCCCGCCUAAUACAGCAUGAUGCCGGGAAGGGACAUCCCUUUCCGGCCAAAGGGGGCGACUCCGGUCACGGAUGGGCAUGCGGCGCAUUAGGUAGUUGGUGGGGCAACGGCCCACCAAGCCGACGAUGCGUAGGGGUUCUGAGAGGAAGGUCCCCCACACUGGUACUGAGACACGGACCAGACUCCUACGGGAGGCAGCAG